AAAAUCAUGUAUCCUAUACACUAAAAUGUAAACAGAUAUACCCCAACCCUAUGGCCAAGACCCAAUACUGCAAAACUAACAGACAGAAAAUUAUAAAUAAAAAAUUCUCAACUCUGAUCCCUUAAAUCUUGAGGCCUUAAAUACCAAAAACCCUGGACAGUUUUAUAGUAUGCUAAACUGAAAUUCUAAUCCCAAAACCCUAGAUGUUAAACUAUAAAACUGAAUGGCUCCAAACCUUAGCCAAAACCCAAUACUCCACAAACAUACAAAACUAUAAAGGAGCAUAGACAAAACAAUCAAAAGGAGGGCAAGAGAGAGGCGAGGGAAAAACUAGCUAGUUGGAGAAAAGUCCAAUGUGAAGAGAAAACAAAAACUAGAAAGCAAGAAAGAAAUUUAGAGCACAAAAAUAGAUACACGAAAGGUUAAGAAUGUGGAUAAAUUAAGAAAGCAUAGAGAGGAAGUGGAGGAAAGGGAAAAACAAGAUAGAAAUGAAAGACAAAGAACACUUUCCAUAUGUCACUUGAGGAAAAAUUGCAAAAGAGAAUGAGAAAUUCAC
This 556-nucleotide long non-coding RNA is filed under the name Spirodela polyrhiza (greater duckweed). RNAcentral's name for it is "long non-coding RNA (SPOL_LNC002413)". Lineage: Eukaryota; Viridiplantae; Streptophyta; Magnoliopsida; Alismatales; Araceae. The record is from RNAcentral.